GGGUCGGUAGGUUGGUCGUGCCACCGGUACGUACUGGUCUCACUGAUUCCUCCUUCCUGAGGAACCGUAAUGCCAUUAAUUUGGUGUUGCGGGGAAACAGGACUGUUACUUUGAAAAAAUUAGAGUGUUUAAAGCAAGCUAACGCUUGAAUACAUUAGCAUGGAAUAAUGAAAUAGGACGAUCGAUCCUAUUUUGUUGGUUUCUAGGAUUGACGUA
This 216-nucleotide ribosomal RNA is filed under the name Glomeromycotina sp. RNAcentral's name for it is "partial small subunit ribosomal RNA". The stretch from base 40 to 216 matches the Rfam family "Eukaryotic small subunit ribosomal RNA", at positions 686 to 864 of the family's 1831-position model. The record is from RNAcentral. Lineage: Eukaryota; Fungi; Glomeromycota.